AGAAUCAACGCUGGCGGCGUGCCUCAGACAUGCAAGUCGAACGAUUAAAGCUCUCUUCGGAGAGUGUAUAGAGUGGCGCACGGGUGAGUAACACGUAAGUAAUCUACCUUUGAGUGGGGAAUAACCCGGGGAAACCCGAGCUAAUACCGCAUAAUGCAGCGGCACCGCAAGGUGACAGUUGUUAAAGGAGCAAUCCGACUUAAAGAGGAGCUUGCGGCAGAUUAGCUAGUUGGUAAGGUAAUGGCUUACCAAGGCUACGAUCUGUAUCCGGUCUAAGAGGACGGUCGGACACACUGACACUGAAUAACGGGUCAGACUCCGUACGGGAGGCAGCA
This 335-nucleotide ribosomal RNA is filed under the name uncultured soil bacterium. RNAcentral describes it as "bacterial SSU rRNA". It matches the Rfam family "Bacterial small subunit ribosomal RNA", at positions 26 to 353 of the family's 1533-position model. The record is from RNAcentral.